Molecule: non-coding RNA, 2128 nt
Organism: Elaeis guineensis (African oil palm)
Lineage: Eukaryota; Viridiplantae; Streptophyta; Magnoliopsida; Arecales; Arecaceae
Source: RefSeq, a predicted model, not a curated record
AGCGGUCUAACCAAUUUACGAUUUUAUCCCAAGACACCUUUAAAUAUUAUUUACUAAAAGGCCGCUGCGUCUCCGGCAGUGGAUGCCGGUUUUCGUCGGGUGACAGCGUUCCCCUCUCCUGCGCCUGCCAUCCUAAAUCUUCCCUUCUUCUCUUCACUAGAAGAAUUAGGGUUUCUCCUCUCUGGAUCGGUCGCCCACAGCUUCUAAGGGUUCUUUCCGGCAUUUUCUUUCAGGCUCGGGUUAUUUUACUACAUCGAUGGCGAUUUGUUUGAGUGUGAGAUCUAAUAUCACCUUCUCCUGUUGAAUCCCUUUUAUUGAAGGGCUUUUUGUUGCGAAAGCUUCUCUCAUUUUGUUGCAACAGUGGGGAUCGUAGAUCUCAGUGAUUUUGUGGCAGACCAUAGCUUUUUUGCUAUUUGGAUUGAUGUUCUAUUCUAUGGGGAUGUGAAGGGAUUGGCAGGGAAAUCAUCUCAAGUUCUUCAUUUUUUCUCUCUCUUCUGGAAAGAUCAUUUUUUGAUCCGAAAGAUCGUUCUUGAUCAAAAAGAUUGUUUCUUAAUGGGAGAAUAAAGCCUUAUCUUUAUCAAGGAUUGGAAAGGAGAUGUACUGCCUGUACAUGUGUCUAUGGUUUCUAUCGUUCUAGCAUACUAUUAGGCCUGUUUUUAAUUUAGACCAUUUUAGGCGAGAAGGAAGUCCUAUUUCGGUGAGAAGAUGCUAGUGCAUUAUUUUUUUUUUUGCUAUAUCUAUUAGUGCUAUUGUUGUCAAACAUCACACAGCUUAGCACAUUCUAAUUUAAGGACGAUUGUAUAAGAGGUUUUUUAGAUUACCAUACCUCAAAUGCCACCAAUCCAUUGAAAUUGAUUUCGCCUUCCAAGUAGUCUGGGAAGAAAUAUACGAAGAUUACUUAGAGGGCACGAUCCUAGCGUCUAAGGUGUUGAGAUAACAAUAUUAUUGGUCUACAUUAUAGAAAGGCACUAUUUAGAUUAUGAAGGUGAGGCUAGUGCCAAAGGCAUGUCAAUAUUCAGCACCAUUCAACUGUAAAAUUAACUCUAAUCAACAUCUUAUUGCUGUUCGUUCAGUAGGAAAUAAACAUUCUUAGUCUCUUUCACAAGGCACUAGAUAAAGAAAAUUUCUUAUUAUCCUCGUCAACUACUUUAUAAAAUGAGUGAGUUGAGACGAAAUUUUUAGUUUGGAUUAUCGAGAAAAAUGCAUAGGGUUUUAUUUAAAAAUCCAUCAUUUGUCUAUUCAGGAAUUCUUCAAGUUCUUAUCACCAACAAUGGUGGAUAAUUUGAUAAUGUUCGAUUUCAAGAAUUCUGUUCCAAACUUGUCAUCAACUAUCGAAUCAUCUCAAUUAGUCACCUCUAAAUCAAUAGAGAAAUUGAGGUAACUAACUACACUAUUUUGUGGGGCUUGAAGGUCAGGCUUAAUCGGGUUGAGGGCUCAAGUUAGAUGAGUUGCCCAAUGUUCCAUGGGCCGGCAUAGCUCCUGUCGAGAAGCUCCGUGCUGAUUAGCAUAUAUUGAACGAAACCAAAAAAUGAGCUUAGCUCAAGAUGGCCGCUAAUUAAUAGUAACAAUUUCCUGAUCAAGGCAAAACUCUUCCGACAAAAAGAUCUCAUCCUUUGAAAAGCCGAAAUAGUCAGACAAGGCAACCACGAGAAGUUUUUGCCCAAGUGGAAAGGAUGAUAUAAGGAAGUCAUCCGAUCCAACAUAUAUCGAUUCAGUAUCUCAUGCAUGGAAUGCUAAUAACCUCCGAGUGUACCAUUAGUAAGAGUUGUAAUUUUAAAUACUUUUUUGCUAAUAAUGAAUGCAGAUUGUCUUUGUGCUCCAAAAUAGCUGAGUAAUGCAGGUAGGAUAUAUCAACCAUCGACCAAAAAUUUCUCAAAAGUGACAGAUCAAGCGAGCUUGCUAAAGUCUCUGAUCAAGAUUCUCCAUAGGCCAAGCUAAAACUCAAAGCACCGAAUUAUGGACAAAAUGUCAGAUGAGUCUCCCAAAAGACCAUGGAUGGCACCACAUUCAAGCAUUACAGAGUGGGACAAGUCUCCCAAGAGACCACCAGCUUGUUAUUCUCAUGGGCCUGGCUGAGGUGUUGAACAACUGAAUCACAAAUGAAAUAUCAGAUAAAUCUCUUAAGAGA